GCCUCUGUGGAUCGUGGUGAUCGUCUCAACCAGUUACCAACUGACUUUCUCCGAUUUCAUGAGGAGAUGUGGGUUCGACUCCCACCAGAGGCA
Mycena galopus ATCC 62051 is the source of this 93-nucleotide non-coding RNA. NCBI's taxonomy places the organism in Eukaryota, Fungi, Basidiomycota, Agaricomycetes, Agaricales, Mycenaceae. The record is from the annotation of a GenBank genome assembly.